AGAACGAACGCUGGCGGCGCGCCUAACACAUGCAAGUCGAACGCUCCGGUUUCGGCCGGGGGGUGGCGGACGGGUGAGUAACGCGUGGGAACCUGCCUUUCGGCUCGGGACAACCGUGGGAAACUACGGCUAAUACCGGAUACGCCCUGGAUUCAUUUCCGGGAGAAAGAUUUAUCACCGAAAGAUGGGCCCGCGUCCGAUUAGCUUGACGGUGAGGUAAUGGCUCACCGUGGCUUCGAUCGGUAGCC
Molecule: ribosomal RNA, 248 nt
Filed under: uncultured bacterium
Lineage: Bacteria
Description: partial small subunit ribosomal RNA
Rfam family: Bacterial small subunit ribosomal RNA
Source: RNAcentral